Molecule: long non-coding RNA, 356 nt
Organism: Homo sapiens (human)
Lineage: Eukaryota; Metazoa; Chordata; Mammalia; Primates; Hominidae
Gene: ECEL1P2
Product: endothelin converting enzyme like 1 pseudogene 2
Source: Ensembl
GCCUACCGAAGAUGGAGCUCCCUCGCAGGGGGUAGCCUCCGAAGGAGAAGACGUGGGAGUGGUCGGCAGUGACGAGGCUCAGCGUGUCCUCCUCGCUGGUGAGCUGGCCCGCCCUCUCAAUGGCGUCGUCGAACAUGAUCGUCUCAGUCAGUGCCCGCCCUUGGCCUGGGGGUCGCACGUCAAUGUCCAUGUUGGAGAUGAGCUGCGUAGCGAUGUCCUGGCACCCCUCCUGGCGGGCGGAGGCAGGCACGUCGGCGUCCGAGUACCAGUUGCGGUUCACCGUGUGGGCGUAGGUGCCGGCUGGCGAGGCGUGCUGCACUCGUGUGGUGGUUACCACUCCCACUGACUUCCCUAAG